RNAcentral lists this ribosomal RNA (457 nucleotides) under uncultured bacterium. Its description in RNAcentral is "bacterial SSU rRNA". It matches the Rfam family "Bacterial small subunit ribosomal RNA", at positions 343 to 791 of the family's 1533-position model. The record is from RNAcentral.
UGGAGGCAGCAGUGGGGAAUAUUGGACAAUGGGCGCAAGCCUGAUCCAGCAAUGCCGCGUGUGUGAAGAAGGCCUGCGGGUUGUAAAGCACUUUUGUUCGGAAAGAAAUCGCACGGGCUAAUACCUUGUGUGGAUGACGGUACCGGAAGAAUAAGCACCGGCUAACUUCGUGCCAGCAGCCGCGGUAAUACGAAGGGUGCAAGCGUUAAUCGGACUUACUGGGCGUAAAGGGUGCGUAGGUGGUCUGUUAAGUCGGAUGUGAAAUCCCCGGGCUCAACCUGGGAAUGGCAUCCGAUACUGGCGGACUUGGAGUCUUGGAGAGGGUGGUGGAAUUCCUGGUGUAGCGGUGAAAUGCGUAGAGAUCAGGAGGAACACUAGUGGCGAAGGCGGCCACCUGGCCAAAGACUGACGCCGAGGCACGAAAGCGUGGGGAGCAAACAGGAUUAGAUACCCGAGU